AUGCUAGCGGCGCGCCUAACACAUGCAAGUCGAGCGGUAGUAUUUUCUAGCUUGCUAGAGAAUAUGAGAGCGGCGAACGGGUGAGUAACACGUUGAUAUCUGCCCAUAGGUCAGGGAUAGCCCAGGGAAACCUGGAUUAAUACCGGAUAGUCUCUUCGGAGUAAAAAUUUAUUGCCUAUGGAGGAGUCUGCGGUCUAUCAGCUAGUUGGUGAGGUAAUAGCUCACCAAGGCUAUGACGGAUACCUGGUCUGAGAGGAUGAUCAGGCACAAUGGAACUGAGACACGGUCCAUACUCCUACGGGAGGCAGCAGUGAGGAAUCUUCCACAAUGGACGAAAGUCUGAUGGAGCGACGCCGCGUGAAGGAUGACGGUCUAACGAUUGUAAACUUCUUUUCUGAGGGAGCAUAAUGAGAGUACCUCAGGAAUAAGGGACGGCUAAAUAUGUGCCAGCAGCCGCGGUAAUACAUAUGUCCCAAGCAUUGCCCGGAAUUACUGGGUGUAAAGGGUUCGUAGGCGGCUUUGUAAGUUGGAUGUGAAAGACCGGAGCUCAACUCCGUGUUGGUAUUCAAAACUGCAGAGCUAGAAUUAGGGAGAGGUAAGCGGAAUUCUGAGUGUAGGGGUGCAAUCCGUAGAUACUCAGAGGAACACCAAAAGCGAAGGCAGCUUACUGGAACUAUAUUGACGCUGAGGAACGAAAGCGUGGGUAGCGAAAAGGAUUAGAUACCCUUGUAGUCCACGCCCUAAACGAUGAU
RNAcentral lists this ribosomal RNA (752 nucleotides) under uncultured bacterium. RNAcentral's name for it is "bacterial SSU rRNA". It matches the Rfam family "Bacterial small subunit ribosomal RNA", at positions 33 to 813 of the family's 1533-position model. The record is from RNAcentral.